This is a long non-coding RNA of Astatotilapia calliptera (eastern happy), 1248 nucleotides long. The record is from Ensembl. NCBI's taxonomy places the organism in Eukaryota, Metazoa, Chordata, Actinopteri, Cichliformes, Cichlidae.
UGCCCCUGUCACAGCUCCUUUCAGCAUGGCCGGAGGUAACUCACUGCCACUUUGCUCGCAGCUAAUUAAAGUUUGUUCAGAUCCCAAGCUGCAAUGUGAAUACAGCCAAACCGCCGCGUUUUUGUUUGUCAUUAAGAGACUCAUUCGGGAUAAGUUUUGUGGAGGGCGGAGUUCACUAAUAUACGCUUAUGAGUUUUAGCCGAGAACGCAGCUAAAAUGCUAGCAUGCUAAGUUAGCCUGAUUGCUAGCGGCUACUCGCGGCAGUCUUUUUUUAACAGCAUGCACUCUUUUUUCCUUCGUCAGGAGAGGUGUACUGGCAGUCGCGUGACACACACAGAUCAGACACAUAUUUCUGUGUUGCAGGUAUGGAGAUGUUCUUAUGUUUUGGAGAUGCAGUCUUUCAUUCAUUGUUUUUAUAAGUACAGUGUUGUACUGCCUGUUAGAUGGCGGUUAUUAAUAUAAUUGUACUGAAGUAUAAUGUUUGAACUAUAAGUACCAGAAUAUUGGGUCCUGGUUAUUGAAUUGUAUUUAUCUGACUGUUUAUUUGUUUUUGAAUUAUUUUGUUUAUUGUUCUUAUAAGUUGUUUUUGAUGUUUUUUCAGUGACAUAUUAUUUAUUUUGUGCUUUUUGUUUUUGAGAGCUUAAGUUAAUGUUUUAAAACAAUUUGUUGUAUUUGAUUCAUUAUAUUAUUGUAGUGUUAAUGAAGCUGCAGACACAGCUGCUUUCAGCAUGGCCGGAGGAGAGGUGUACUGGCAGUCGCGUGACACACACAGAUCAGACACAUAUUUCUGUGUUGCAGAUGUGCAGUAAAGAGCCAAAGACCCAGUACUGUCUCCUGCCUCUUACUUUCACGCCAGAACACAACGCAAGAACAACAGGCGUAACACAUGAACGGGUUACACAUACUGAGAAGAGGAGGCGAGAGCAGAGAACGAGAGUGCAGCAGUUUGGUGAAAGGAACAGGUGAAGAAGAGGUGAGCAUCCAAGAGACGAGCAAGAGGACGGUUUCAAAGCAGACAUUAUGGCACAAUAAAAGCUUGAAAAGCUCACCUGAUGUAGUGGUGAGGCCAUGUUCACCACUAGAUGGAGACAACCUGGCACAGGCCUCCUCCUGUUUCACUGCCAUAUAUCCACCACCAGAGGGCUCCACUGACCUGCCUGCUGACAUCACAGCACACCCCUGUGUCAUGUGACCUGGCAGGAGUAGCAAAGCUGGACUCAGACCUGGCCCAGGCAAGUUCAAAGGCAG